Molecule: ribosomal RNA, 222 nt
Filed under: uncultured bacterium
Lineage: Bacteria
Description: partial 16S ribosomal RNA
Rfam family: Bacterial small subunit ribosomal RNA
Source: RNAcentral
UACGAAGGGGGCUAGCGUUGCUCGGAAUGACUGGGCGUAAAGGGCGCGUAGGCGGCUCAUACAGUCAGGCGUGAAAUUCCUGGGCUCAACCUGGGGACUGCGCUUGAGACGUGUGGGCUUGAGUGGGGAAGAGGGUCGUGGAAUUCCCAGUGUAGAGGUGAAAUUCGUAGAUAUUGGGAAGAACACCGGUGGCGAAGGCGGCGACCUGGUCCUUGACUGACG